UACAGAGGGUGCAAGCGUUGUUCGGAAUUAUUGGGCGUAAAGCGCGUGUAGGCGGCUUUGCAAGUCGGGUGUGAAAGCCCUCGGCUCAACCGAGGAAGUGCGCCCGAAACUGCAGAGCUUGAGUACCGGAGAGGAUGGCGGAAUUCCCCAAGUAGAGGUGAAAUUCGUAGAUAUGGGGAGGAACACCGGUGGCGAAGGCGGCCAUCUGGACGGGUACUGACGCUGAGACGCGAAAGCGUGGGUAGCAAACAGG
RNAcentral lists this ribosomal RNA (253 nucleotides) under uncultured bacterium. Its description in RNAcentral is "partial 16S ribosomal RNA". It matches the Rfam family "Bacterial small subunit ribosomal RNA", at positions 524 to 776 of the family's 1533-position model. The record is from RNAcentral.